This 253-nucleotide ribosomal RNA is filed under the name uncultured bacterium. RNAcentral describes it as "partial 16S ribosomal RNA". It matches the Rfam family "Bacterial small subunit ribosomal RNA", at positions 524 to 776 of the family's 1533-position model. The record is from RNAcentral.
UACGAAGGGGGCUAGCGUUGCUCGGAAUCACUGGGCGUAAAGGGUGCGUAGGCGGGUCUUUAAGUCAGGGGUGAAAUCCUGGAGCUCAACUCCAGAACUGCCUUUGAUACUGAAGAUCUUGAGUUCGGGAGAGGUGAGUGGAACUGCGAGUGUAGAGGUGAAAUUCGUAGAUAUUAGGAGGAACACCGGUGGCGAAGGCGGCCAACUGGACAGUAACUGACGCUCUGGCGCGAAAGCGUGGGUAUCAAACAGG